RNAcentral lists this unclassified non-coding RNA (363 nucleotides) under Hevea brasiliensis (rubber tree). Lineage: Eukaryota; Viridiplantae; Streptophyta; Magnoliopsida; Malpighiales; Euphorbiaceae. The record is from RNAcentral.
GCAGGUUGGAGGAAUUAUCACAAAUUUCCUUCUUUGAUUUCGACUUGCUAAUUUUCCUUACAGUAUUAAAUAAUCUCACCUCUCCAUCAAAAGAAAAGAAUCUAUCUCUGUCUUGAACAUUAAAACACUACCCAUCAUCAUCCUCAGCAAGAAGAGGAAAAAAAGAAAAUUAAAAAAAGGUUGAUUAUCUCCUCUCCUGGUUUCUUCGACCCUUUGAAUAUGCUAUUCUCUUUGUUUCUGCAUAUUUGCUGGCUUUGUUGGAUUUAAACACGGUUUUGCAGUAACAUGAGGAACCCUUUAACAAUAAUUUCAACUGGAGUUUUCAAGUCUACUUUUAGCAGAAGUGCUCAACUUCUGGAAGCA